Molecule: long non-coding RNA, 1344 nt
Filed under: Camelus dromedarius (Arabian camel)
Lineage: Eukaryota; Metazoa; Chordata; Mammalia; Artiodactyla; Camelidae
Description: lncRNA (ENSCDRG00005021560.1)
Source: RNAcentral
GCUGUACGCCAAACGGGAAAACCAGAGUCCAGGGCAAAGGGUCUUCCUCGACAAACCAGAGCCAGGGGCGCUUGCGUCUGCGAUUCUGCUUUGCUUGGUGGCCAGAGCUCAUGCCCCCUGAGCAGAAAGAUGUGAGCAGGCUGCCCUAGAACUGAGCGAUUCAGAGGGAGGUUCUGAACUGCCAAAGGAAAACCAACUUUGUUCUUAAGCCACCACACGUCUGAAGGAUGCUUGUGCAGGGAAGGGUGACAGGUUCUUUUCCAUCUGCACCGGAACUGAGGCAGGAGCCAUGAACCCCAGCUGUGGCUCGUGGGAUCUGGGGUAGACAUGAGGAGAGUUUUCCAGACGGAGGAAUGUUCGGCCGUGGAAUAUGUCGCGGAGAGAGGAUGUUGGAACAUUGCUGAAGAGUGAAUGUGUCUGGCUGGUUACGUGUGGUGAGGCGCUCAAGUCUGGAUUCUCGGGAACCCCCAGCUGGCCAGAAUUUCAUCCCCUUCCAUGUGUGUUUUCAGUGGCCAGGCUGAUCUUCCACAGGAGGGUGAUGUCAGCAAACCCAGGAAGCGCUCCGGGCCAGGAAGGCCUCAGACGCAGGAGGAUGCAGUUACGGGUCUCCUGGCGGAGUGCUCUGUCCACCGGAUGUGACAGGAAAAGGCUCAGAGACAUACCAGGACGGGCUGCCCGGGGGCUACCGGCCACUCCAGUCCAGGAACUCAGCUUCUCAAAAACAAAGUUGGAGGGAAAAGACUACAGGUUUGCUGAGAUGCUUUGAGGGCACAAGCUGAACAAAAACCAGUCACCAUUCCUCUGCCCAAAGCAAGCUGAACCAAAAGAAAAUAAAUCAGAUGUCCUGGGAUGGCACCGGUGGCCUGAACCACCCACUCGUAACUGUCCUGUCAGGAGCUUGUGCCAAAGACCAGCAGCCAGCUUUCUCCAUAUUCACCCCUGGACCCCCGCCAGCCAGCCCUGGCACAGUCUACACACUGAGCGUGGACACGCAAAGCGUCCUAGACGUCGCCCACCUUCCUCCCUCUGCACCCUCCCUCCUUUCUUCCUCAUCACUGUCACCAUUACCAACGUAUCUACACGACUCAGACGUAGGUGACCUGACCUCAGAGUGCUCACAAACACCCCUUCCCUUAUGGGUGAUGUGCUCUAAAGGAGCUGUCAAGUUUACAGGUAGAAAAGUUAUUUCAGUAACUGUAGACAGUUGUUUUCAUACAUAGAAUGUGUCAGCAUAGCUUUUAUGUCAUUGACACGGUGUCAUAUAUAAAAAGGAAGGAACUAGUUAGAUUAGUAUCGUUACCCAAAUUCAUAACUGGUAGUGUUGAAUGAGGUACCCUGCACGUG